This 332-nucleotide unclassified non-coding RNA is filed under the name soil metagenome. RNAcentral's name for it is "partial contains 5.8S ribosomal RNA, internal transcribed spacer 2, and large subunit ribosomal RNA". The stretch from base 1 to 120 matches the Rfam family "5.8S ribosomal RNA", at positions 35 to 154 of the family's 154-position model. The record is from RNAcentral.
GAUGAAGAACAUAGCAAAAUGCGAUAAGUAAUAUGAAUUGCAGAAUUCAGUGAAUCAUCGAAUCUUUGAACGCACAUUGCGCCCGCCAGUAUUCUGGCGGGCAUGCCUGUUCGAGCGUCAUUUCAACCCUCAAGCACAGCUUGGUGUUGGGACUCGCGUUAAUUCGCGUUCCCCAAAUUGAUUGGCGGUCACGUCGAGCUUCCAUAGCGUAGUAGUAAAACCCUCGUUACUGGUAAUCGUCGCGGCCACGCCGUUAAACCCCAACUUCUGAAUGUUGACCUCGGAUCAGGUAGGAAUACCCGCUGAACUUAAGCAUAUCAAUAAGCGGAGGA